CGGAGGCAGCAGUGAGGAAUAUUGCACAAUGGGCGAAAGCCUGAUGCAGCAACGCCGCGUGAGGGACGAAGGCCCUCGGGUCGUAAACCUCUUUUCUGGGGGAAGAGUAAGGACGGUACCUCAGGAAUAAGUCUCGGCUAACUACGUGCCAGCAGCCGCGGUAACACGUAGGAGGCGAGCGUUAUCCGGAUUUACUGGGCGUAAAGCGCGCGCAGGCGGCUUCGUCAGUCGGACGUGAAAGCUCCCGGCUUAACUGGGAGAGGCCGUUCGAUACUGCGAGGCUUGAGGUUGGGAGAGGGGUGUGGAAUUCCCGGUGUAGUGGUGGAAUGCGUAGAUAUCGGGAGGAACACCUGUGGCGAAAGCGGCACCCUGGCCCACACCUGACGCUGAGGUGCGAAAGCGUGGGUAGCAAACAGGAUUAGAUACCCCCGUAGUCCA
RNAcentral lists this ribosomal RNA (438 nucleotides) under uncultured bacterium. RNAcentral describes it as "bacterial SSU rRNA". It matches the Rfam family "Bacterial small subunit ribosomal RNA", at positions 343 to 797 of the family's 1533-position model. The record is from RNAcentral.